RNAcentral lists this ribosomal RNA (465 nucleotides) under uncultured bacterium. RNAcentral describes it as "partial 16S ribosomal RNA". It matches the Rfam family "Bacterial small subunit ribosomal RNA", at positions 28 to 507 of the family's 1533-position model. The record is from RNAcentral.
GACGAACGCUGGCGGCGUGCUUAACACAUGCAAGUCGAACGGAAAGGCCCUGCUUGCGGGGUGCUCGCGUGGCGAAAGGGGGAGUAAAACGUGGGAGUAAUGCCCUGCACUCCGGGGUAAACCUGGGAAAAUGUGGCGAAUAUAGGGUAGAGGACCUCCUUAGUCAGGGGGGUGGUAGGUUUUUUCGGUGUGGGCGGGGCUGGCGGCCUAUCUGCUUGUUGGUGGGGUAAUGGGCUGCCAAGGAGGUGACGGGGGGGCGGCCCGCGAGGGUGGACGGCCACAUUGGGACUGAGAUACGGCCCCGACCCCCACGGGGGGCAGCAGGGGGGAAUAUUGCACAAUGGGGGCGAGCCCUAUGCAGCGACGCCGCGGGGGGGAUGACGGCCUUUGGGUUGUAAACUCCUUUCGCUAGGGACGAAGCUUUUUGUGACGGUACCUAGUUAAGAAGCACCGGCUAACUACGUG